GAUUAUGGCUCAGGACGAACGCUGGCGGCGUGCUUCAUACAUGCAAGUCGAACGAGAAGCUGACUUCGGUCAGUGGAAAGUGGCGGACGGGUGAGUAAUGUGUAGAGAAUCUGCCCUAGAGAGGGGGACAACAGUUGGAAACGACUGCUAAUACCCCAUAUGAGCGUAGCUGAAAUGCUAUUCUUGAAAACUCCGGUGCUCUGGGAUGAGUCUGCAUCUGAUUAGCUAGUAGGCGGUGUAAUGGACCACCUAGGCGACGAUCAGUAGCUGGUUUGAGAGGAUGAUCAGCCACAAUGGGACUGAGACACGGCCCAUACUCCUACGGGAGGCAGCAGUAGGGUAAUUUUGCGCAAGUGGGGGAAACCCUGAACCGCAGCAACGCCGCGUGAAUGAAGAAGCCCGUUCGGGGUGUAAAGUUCUGUCAGUGGGGACGAAACUUGACGGUACCCACAGAGGAAGCAUCGGCUAACUCCGUGCCAGCCGCCGC
Molecule: ribosomal RNA, 487 nt
Filed under: uncultured bacterium
Lineage: Bacteria
Description: bacterial SSU rRNA
Rfam family: Bacterial small subunit ribosomal RNA
Source: RNAcentral